RNAcentral lists this ribosomal RNA (484 nucleotides) under uncultured bacterium. Its description in RNAcentral is "partial 16S ribosomal RNA". It matches the Rfam family "Bacterial small subunit ribosomal RNA", at positions 29 to 507 of the family's 1533-position model. The record is from RNAcentral.
AUUGAACGCUGGCGGCAUGCUUUACACAUGCAAGUCGAACGGCAGCGCGGGCUUCGGCCUGGCGGCGAGUGGCGAACGGGUGAGUAAUACAUCGGAACGUGCCCAGUAGUGGGGGAUAGCUCGGCGAAAGCCGGAUUAAUACCGCAUACGACCUGAGGGUGAAAGCGGGGGAUCUUCGGACCUCGCGCUAUUGGAGCGGCCGAUGGCAGAUUUGCUAGUUGGUGGGGUAAAGGCCUACCAAGGCGACGAUCUGUAGCUGGUCUGAGAGGACGACCAGCCACACUGGGACUGAGACACGGCCCAGACUCCUACGGGAGGCAGCAGUGGGGAAUUUUGGACAAUGGGCGAAAGCCUGAUCCAGCAAUGCCGCGUGUGUGAUGAAGGCCUUCGGGUUGUAAAGCACUUUUGGCGGGAACGAAAAGGACUGUGCCAAUACCACGGUUCGAUGACGGUACCCGCAGAAUAAGCACCGGCUAACUACGUG